RNAcentral lists this small RNA (29 nucleotides) under Bombyx mori (domestic silkworm). RNAcentral describes it as "ovarian small RNA-11241". The record is from RNAcentral. Lineage: Eukaryota; Metazoa; Arthropoda; Insecta; Lepidoptera; Bombycidae.
ACCAUCGAGGGGCCCGAGCUGGCGGCAAU